Molecule: ribosomal RNA, 497 nt
Filed under: uncultured bacterium
Lineage: Bacteria
Description: partial 16S ribosomal RNA
Rfam family: Bacterial small subunit ribosomal RNA
Source: RNAcentral
AAUGAACGCUGGCGGCGUGCCUAACACAUGCAAGUCGAACGGACGGACAAGAAGAUUGCUCUCCUGAUGGUAGCGGCUGGCGGGCGGGUAACGAGUGGAUCACCAACCUCUUUGACUGGGAUAAUUACGGGAAGCCGCAGAUACUACCGGCUAAUACUUCGAACGGCAUGGUGCAAAAGUGAUAGACGGCUUUCCCGUUUCAUAUAGACGAAGCCGCGCUGCAUUAGCUAGUUGGUAAGGUAACGGCUAACCAAGGCUACGAUGCAUAGCCGACCUGAGAGGAUGAUCGGCCACACUGGAACUGAGACACGGUCCAGACUCCUACGGGAGGCAGCAGUAGGGAAUCUUCCGCAAUGGGCGAAAGCCUGACGGAGCAACGCCGCGUGAGUGAUGAAGGUCUUCGGGUCGUAAAACUCUUUUAUUAGGGAAGAAAAGAUGUGUAUUUAUCUGUGCACAUCUUGACGGUACCUAAUGAGAAAGCCACGGCUAACUUCGUG